Subdoligranulum variabile DSM 15176 is the source of this 99-nucleotide regulatory RNA element. It matches the Rfam family "SAM riboswitch aptamer (S box leader)". Rfam says of the family: The SAM riboswitch is found upstream of a number of genes which code for proteins involved in methionine or cysteine biosynthesis in Gram-positive bacteria. The SAM riboswitch acts at the level of transcription termination control. NCBI's taxonomy places the organism in Bacteria, Bacillati, Bacillota, Clostridia, Eubacteriales, Oscillospiraceae. The record is from Rfam.
AACUUAUCAAGAGUGGCAGAGGGGACAGGCCCUGUGAAGCCCGACAACCUACACAAAUGUGCAAGGUGCCAAUUCCUGCGGGGAACCGAAAGAUAAGCG